RNAcentral lists this ribosomal RNA (495 nucleotides) under uncultured bacterium. Its description in RNAcentral is "partial 16S ribosomal RNA". It matches the Rfam family "Bacterial small subunit ribosomal RNA", at positions 28 to 507 of the family's 1533-position model. The record is from RNAcentral.
GACGAACGCUGGCGGCGUGCCCAAUACAUGCAAGUAGAACGCUGAAGGAGGAGCUUGCUUCUCCGGAUGAGUUGCGAACGGGUGAGUAACGCGUAGGUAACCUGCCUGGUAGCGGGGGAUAACUAUUGGAAACGAUAGCUAAUACCGCAUAAGAGUAGAUGUCGCAUGACAUUUGCUUAAAAGGUGCAACUGCACCACUACCAGAUGGACCUGCGUUGUAUUAGCUAGUUGGUGGGGUAACGGCUCACCAAGGCAACGAUACAUAGCCGACCUGAGAGGGGGAUCGGCCACACUGGGACUGAGACACGGCCCAGACUCCUACGGGAGGCAGCAGUAGGGAAUCUUCGGCAAUGGACGGAAGUCUGACCGAGCAACGCCGCGUGAGUGAAGAAGGUUUUCGGAUCGUAAAGCUCUGUUGUAAGAGAAGAACGAGUGUGAGAGUGGAAAGUUCACACUGUGACGGUAUCUUACCAGAAAGGGACGGCUAACUACGUG